AGGAUAAAACAAGGCAAGAAGUUUCAUGGACAAGAUGCUUCACCUCCUGCCUCUGCUCCUGGAAUCCAUGCCCCGUGUUGUUACCUGCACCUUUUUUCCUUUCCCAACCAAACUCUCUGAAACGCAGGCACUGAUUCUGUGGCCAGGUCAGCAUCGUCCCUCCUUUUAUCCCACAUGACAGAUUUUGUUCCAGGAGCCCUGACCGUGUGCAUGCUAAGUGAGGAGCUCCUUCUGGACAGAUAUCGGCAGCCUUUUGAUUUUGAUCUUCCCAGUCAACCUUUCACAGACAGUCUCCUCAAAAUAACAUAGCAGACCUGCCACAGCCGGUAACAUAUCAAAAGUUAACAUGCUUUGUUAAAAAAUACAUUGUGAGGAUUUUUAUAUUUUUAUAUUAAAGUGGAAGAAGUCUCCAUGAGGUACAGAAAAGGGGUUAUUUUCUAUUCUGCUGAUGAAAAGGAAGUCAUGUUUUCCUGACUUGCUUUAUGGAUGAUUUAUUUUGAUAUGACACAUUCAGUUUUGGUCCUUAAAAGCAAUCUCUUCUGUCCCCACCCACCCUCCUCAGCCCAGAAGGCCUUUUUGAAUGACAUAAAAACCUAGUGUUCAAAAAUAAUUUCCUUGGGUAAGUUCUGAGCCUUAUCUGAGGUGUGUUGGAGAAGUAUGGAGAAAACACUCUCACAAAGGACCUUCACCAACAAUACUGAGGGGAAGCCACUAGCUGAUUUGUGAAGUCAGUAAAUAGCAAUGACUGCAAGCGGCAUGACUAAAUAUCCAUCAUUUUGCUCCAGCCUUUUGAAAAUGGUUUUACCUUCUGAAUGACCUGUAGAUGAGGAGGAAUCAUUUAAUCCAUCAUUGACUGAUGGUGACAAUCAUAAACAUGCUGUCAUUGGUUUUAUCUGUAACAGUUAAUGGAAAUCUCAAAAAAAUGUAAGGUCUUGUGAAGAAAAAUGAAGACAAUAGGGAUUUAGAGUACUGGAAGUCAAUUUAAAACAGCUUGCUGUAUAGGAAAGAUAGUAUUUUUUCUGACUAAGCCUGCAAAGGAGGACUUUUGAAUAGUCAUUCAUUAAUAUACUGUAACUAUUAGUUAAUGUUUAACAAGUCAACCUGGUUAUGCUGCUAUGCUGUGUGACAUUUCAUAGCAACAGCACUUGAAAUAUUUAUUUACUUAUUGUUUCCUUUCCAUAAAUAAUGAAAUACCUGAGAUCUUAUUUGCAUUUCCCUUGUUAAACAAAACACACUCAUGUGUACAUUUAAAUGGGCCACAUUUCCCUUUUUGAGCUGCCAGAGACUUCAGCUAUUUCUAUAUAGAGCAGCUUACCCUCAUGGCAGAGUGAAAUUUAUUAAUUUGUCUCUAUUUUUUAAAAUAAAACUUUCAUACGAUCUGUUUCAUGUGCUUUCUGUUCCAUAAUCCAAAAGAUUGCAUCAAAGAAUAGCUGGUGGGAAGCUGGUUUUACUCUCCAAGUGGUGUGCUCUUUGCAGAGCAUGUACCUGAACAGGUGCCAGAAUGUGGGCUGCCGUUUCUAAAUUCGGGUAUUAGGUGUCAAAAGAGAAGUGGCCUAAUUUACAAUGUUGUAAAGGUUUGCAGCUUUAUUGAGGUGAAGAAGUUAAACUUUGACAUCACUGAGAUUUUUAGUGAAAGGCUCUGAUUCUCAGCUAUUUAGCUGAAGAGUUAACAGUGGCUGGUAUAAAUCAAAUGAUUACAGAUGCAAUUAAAGCAACAAGUCCAGCGUGCAGGCAUGCAACACACUUCUACCCUCCGUGGCAAAGAGGAGGCUGCAGAGCACAAAUACCACCUCAUCAGAUGCACCAUCUCCCCUCCGUGAGGCUAUGGCACCAUCUGCAGCUGUUUGCCAGCUAUGCUGGUCUGUCUGCUCAAUCCCUGCAUUCAUCUGUGCUUUCCUGUCAUUCAGCUGAGGACGUUCAGUGCGAUGUAAAGAGCUGGAUCAGGCUGCUCUCCUCAGUCCUGCUCUCCACCUUCACACAUGAUAUGCACACUCCAGAUGCUGUCCCAGGCUUGCUUCCCCCAUCUCCUUAGCCCAGUGCUCUGGUUCAUCACAGUUCCCCCUUCCACAGUGCAUCCUUGGGUCCAGCCCCAAAUCCAGCAACAUUAUACAUAAAUCCUGACUGUGUUUCUAUAAUCUUGAAAGUUCCUGCAGGUUCAGUGCAAUAGUCCUUUAAUAUAUGCUGUUUUGCUACUUCUAUUUUUUUGUAUUUUUCUU
This is a long non-coding RNA of Oxyura jamaicensis (ruddy duck), 2216 nucleotides long. RefSeq lists it as uncharacterized. The record is from RefSeq and is a predicted model, not a curated record. NCBI's taxonomy places the organism in Eukaryota, Metazoa, Chordata, Aves, Anseriformes, Anatidae. The transcript is spliced from 3 exons.